GCGGCCUAUCAGCUUGUUGGUGAGGUAAAGGCUCACCAAGGCGACGACGGGUAGCCGGCCUGAGAGGGCGACCGGCCACACUGGGACUGAGACACGGCCCAGACUCCUACGGGAGGCAGCAGUAGGGAAUAUUGGGCAAUGGGCGAAAGCCUGACCCAGCGACGCCGCGUGAGGGAUGAAGGUCUUCGGAUUGUAAACCUCUUUCAGUAGGGAAGAAGCGAAAGUGACGGUACCUAAAGAAGAAGCACCGGCUAACUAUGUGCCAGCAGCCGCGGUAAUACAUAGGGUGCAAGCGUUGUCCGGAAUUAUUGGGCGUAAAGAGCUCGUAGGUCGUUUGUCGCGUCGAUUGUGAAAAUCUGAGGCUCAACCUCAGACCUGCAGUCGAUACGGGCAGACUAGAGUGUGGUAGGGGAGACUGGAAUUCCU
Molecule: ribosomal RNA, 426 nt
Filed under: uncultured Actinomycetes bacterium
Lineage: Bacteria; Bacillati; Actinomycetota; Actinomycetes
Description: bacterial SSU rRNA
Rfam family: Bacterial small subunit ribosomal RNA
Source: RNAcentral